GACAAACGCUGGCGGCGUACCUAAGACAUGCAAGUCGAACGGGCACUCUUCUUUCGGGAGGAGUCGCGAGUGGCGGAUGGGUGAGUAACGCGUAGGAACCUGUCACGGAGUGGGGGAUACCGCUGGGAAACCGGCGCUAAUACCGCAUGGGGUCAGAGAUGACCAAAGCAGCAAUGCGCUUUGUGAGGGGCCUGCGUCCGAUUAGCUAGUUGGUGGGGUAAGGGCCUACCAAGGCGACGAUCGGUAGCUGGUCUGAGAGGAUGGUCAGCCACACUGG
Molecule: ribosomal RNA, 277 nt
Filed under: uncultured bacterium
Lineage: Bacteria
Description: partial 16S ribosomal RNA
Rfam family: Bacterial small subunit ribosomal RNA
Source: RNAcentral